GUUAGUCUGUUGUUGAAGAUGGGAGGGACAGAGAUGAUAACAGGUUAGUCUGUUGUUGAAGAUGGGAGGGACAGAGAUGAUAACAGGUUAGUCUGUUGUUGAAGAUGGGAGGGGACAGAGAUGAUAACAGGUUAGUCUGUUGUUGAAGAUGGGAGGGACAGAGAUGAUAACAGGUUAGUCUGUUGUUGAAGAUGGGAGGGGACAGAGAUGAUAACAGGUUAGUCUGUUGUUGAAGAUGGGAGGGGACAGAGAUGAUAACAGGUUAGUCUGUUGUUGAAGAUGGGAGGGACAGAGAUGAUAACAGGUUAGUCUGUUGUUGAAGAUGGGAGGGACAGAGAUGAUAACAGGUUAGUCUGUUGUUGAAGAUGGGAGGGGACAGAGAUGAUAACAGGUUAGUCUGUUGUUGAAGAUGGGAGGGACAGAGAUGAUAACAGGUUAGUCUGUUGUUGAAGAUGGGAGGGACAGAGAUGAUAACAGGUUAGUCUGUUGUUGAAGAUGGGAGGGACAGAGAUGAUAACAGGUUAGUCUGUUGUUGAAGAUGGGAGGGACAGAGAUGAUAACAGGUUAGUCUGUUGUUGAAGAUGGGAGGGACAGAGAUGAUAACAGGUUAGUCUGUUGUUGAAGAUGGGAGGGACAGAGAUGAUAACAGGUUAGUCUGUUGUUGAAGAUGGGAGGGACAGAGAUGAUAACAGGUUAGUCUGUUGUUGAAGAUGGGAGGGACAGAGAUGAUAACAGGUUAGUCUGUUGUUGAAGAUGGGAGGGACAGAGAUGAUAACAGGUUAGUCUGUUGUUGAAGAUGGGAGGGACAGAGAUGAUAACAGGUUAGUCUGUUGUUGAAGAUGGGAGGGGACAGAGAUGAUAACAGGUUAGUCUGUUGUUGAAGAUGGGAGGGACAGAGAUGAUAACAGGUUAGUCUGUUGUUGAAGAUGGGAGGGACAGAGAUGAUAACAGGUUAGUCUGUUGUUGAAGAUGGGAGGGACAGAGAUGAUAACAGGUUAGUCUGUUGUUGAAGAUGGGAGGGGACAGAGAUGAUAACAGGUUAGUCUGUUGUUGAAGAUGGGAGGGACAGAGAUGAUAACAGGUUAGUCUGUUGUUGAAGAUG
Long non-coding RNA from Oncorhynchus keta (chum salmon), 1102 nucleotides. RefSeq lists it as uncharacterized. The transcript is spliced from 3 exons. NCBI's taxonomy places the organism in Eukaryota, Metazoa, Chordata, Actinopteri, Salmoniformes, Salmonidae. The record is from RefSeq and is a predicted model, not a curated record.